CUCUGCACAAAAAUUUAUGUUUUCAUUCAGGCAGAUAUUUCGCUACCCUGCCUGCAGCAUUAGGACCCUGUUAAAUAUUCUUGCCUGCACACUGCGCAAGCCUUUCCUUUCCAUUCUGAGGAUGCUGCAGUGCUUGAGAUCAUUUUUACUUGAACUGAACAAUGAUGUUUUGGGAAACCAAAUUUCAAAGAAUGUGCCGAAGCUGCAGCAAUUUCCCAAUUGGGUGGGAGGAAGAGGUGUUGCCAGGUACUAGCUGUUGUCAACCAGCCAAUAGCUGACACCCAAUGGAUUGGGUGGGAGGAGCAGGCGUGGCCAGGUAGCUGAUGUCAACAGCUUCCAACCAAUGGAUGGGGUGGGAGGAACGGAUGUUGCCACGUAGCUGAUGUCAACCAGCCAAUAGCUGACAACCAAUGGGUUGGAUUCCAGCAGGAUGGUUGAUGGCAACACUUGAUAACUAGUGGGUUAUCCGCUAAGGGUUUGAAGCCAUUAUGGACAUUGUCUCCAGCCCUUGAAGCUACAUAAGGUUGACGUGAUGCCAGAAUUAUGUGCCAAUGAUGGGCAUAUUCCUUUGAAUGCAGAGACCUGUCACUCUGACAGAGGUGCCGUGGCAGAAGAGUUGUGGUGACCGGUUUGGAGCACAAUGUUGAACUGUCAAGCUUUGUAGUAUUGUGUAUCAUAACUUGAACACUUGUUUCAGUGUCAUUGUGUAUCAUUCCCAGAACAGUUUGAGAAAGUAACUGCUUGUUUUUGUCUUCUCCGUUCUUUGUAUACUUUUUCUAAAAAUUGACUAUUAAUAAAAAUCGCUAUUACAGCU
Onychostoma macrolepis is the source of this 814-nucleotide long non-coding RNA. RefSeq lists it as uncharacterized. NCBI's taxonomy places the organism in Eukaryota, Metazoa, Chordata, Actinopteri, Cypriniformes, Cyprinidae. The transcript has 9 exons. The record is from RefSeq and is a predicted model, not a curated record.